Long non-coding RNA from Lepus europaeus (European hare), 745 nucleotides. RefSeq lists it as uncharacterized. The record is from RefSeq and is a predicted model, not a curated record. Lineage: Eukaryota; Metazoa; Chordata; Mammalia; Lagomorpha; Leporidae. The transcript has 6 exons.
CGGGUGGUGGCAGUGGCGGAGCCCCGGGCGGGCAGCCUGGACGCCCCGUCCGCUGCCGCUGCCGCCGCCAGGCUUUCCGUGCAAGAUGCAGUUCCUCCUGGGGAAUCCGUUCAGCGCGCCGGUGGGACAGUGCAUCCGGAGACCAUGCUCACUUGUAUCUGAAACUCCCAAGCGAGAUUGGUCUGUGUGAAUUCCUGUUUUCUGCAGAUACGUCUUUGCCAGACUCGACUCUUUCUGGAGAGGGAAACACAGAAGCAGAGAUCAUGGCUGCUGUGUUUGUUUCCAUUGGACCUCUGGAGUCACUGACUUUCAAAGAUGUGGCUAUAGACUCCACAUUGGAGGCCUGGAGACUGAUGGACCCUACACAGAGGAACCUGCACAAGGAUGUGAUGCUGGAGAAUGACAGGAAUCUUGUCUCCCUGGGUGAGGGCUUGCAGUUUCCAAACCAGAUAUGAUAUCUCAUUUGGAGAAUGGACAAUGGUGAGAGAAAUUUCAAGAGGCCCCUAUCCAGUUUCUUCUAUGAAGCCCACAGUCAGGAGCCUCUCUGCCCAGCCAUGAUGUUUCAAUGGCAUACCUGGGGGAUAAACUACUGAGGCGAUAAACAGUCCUAUGCAGAACAAGCUGAGAAACUGCCAGAUUACUGUCCAUAGUGGCUGCACUGGAAAUUUAUGAGGGUUCCAUGCUCUUCAUGUCCCUGGCAACAUUUAUUUGUGGUUGAAUCAGUCAUUUUACUAUAUAGGAAUUG